ACUUAACUAAUCAACGCUAUAGCACAAUUUCUGCACGUUCUAUAAAUUUUUAAAUAAAUUGAAACAUUUAGGUAGUCAGCUUUAAUAUGAGAGAUCUUAGCAAUUUUUAAAGUAAAUGCACUGAAGAGGAUACUUAUUUAAAUAAAAGAUUAUUUACUUAGUACCUUUUGUAUCAGGGAAUUCUUAAAAUUUAAUUAAAUCACUGUUUCGAGAAUAAUUGAUUUACUAAUGAGUUAAUAUGCAUAUUGCAGGAUGCUCUGAAUCUUUAGUAGAGGUGAUAAUCUUACGACAUUUUUGGUAUCUAAUUCAUUAAUAAAGAAUUUUAGAUUCUUUUUUAGGUUAUAAAAGUUUAAAAGAGAUAAUUUUUUUAAAUUUAUAAAAUAAGAUAAAAUUUCGAUAGAUUAGGCUUUAAAUUAGCCAUAUUAGUAAAAUGUUAUAAAUAAGUUGAAUUUAAUAAAUUCAUUUAUUUACAAAAGUGUAUAUUAUUAAUACAAAUUUGAUAAAAAAUAUGGAGUUAUUAGUAUAUAAGUUAGACAAAUAUUCUGAAUUCGGCAAUUACUUAUUGACUGUUUAUCAAAAACUUUUCUUUAUUAAUUAUGUGAAGUAUAGCCUGCCCAGUGAAACUUAAACGGCCGCAGUAUCUUGACUGUGCUAAGGUAGCGUAAUCAUUUGUCUCUUAAUUGGAAACUGUAUGAAAGGUAUGACGAUAAGUUACUGUAGUUAGACUGUGUAUAUAAUUUUGGGUUUAAGUAAAAACUCUUAAAUUUUGUAAAGGGACGAUAAGACCCUAAAAGUUUGAUUUUAUAAUUUUAUAAAAGUUAAUUUAAAUCAAUAUCUCAAAAUUUAAAAAUUUGGCUGGGGAAGUUGACUUGUAUAAUCUUAGUUUAAGGAAAACUAAAAUCUUAGGGCUUAAGGUCUUUUAUAUAAGGAUGCUUAGAAUAAAUUACUUUAGGGAUAACAGCGUGAUAAUUUUGGAGAGUCCUUAUUGAUAAAGUUGAUUACGACCUCGAUGUUGAAUUAAGAAGUCCGGUGAAGGCAAAAGGUCACUUGGAGGGUUUGUUCAACCUUUAAUUUCUUACAUGAUUUGAGUUCAGACCGGCGUGAGCCAGGUUGGCUUCUAUCUUUUACUGUAUAAAAUAAGAUUUAGUACGAAAGGAUUACUCUUAUAGUUCAUAGCUAUUUAGUCGGGUAACAUUGAUUGACCAAAUUAUGCCUUAGAAAAUAAUUC
RNAcentral lists this ribosomal RNA (1228 nucleotides) under Stygobromus foliatus. RNAcentral's name for it is "16S ribosomal RNA". The stretch from base 769 to 1128 matches the Rfam family "Archaeal large subunit ribosomal RNA", at positions 2149 to 2717 of the family's 2987-position model. The record is from RNAcentral. Lineage: Eukaryota; Metazoa; Arthropoda; Malacostraca; Amphipoda; Crangonyctidae.